UACGUAGGGUGCGAGCGUUGUCCGGAAUUAUUGGGCGUAAAGGGCUCGUAGGCGGUUUGUCACGUCGGGAGUGAAAACUCGGGGCUCAACCCGAGCCUGCUUCCGAUACGGGCAGACUAGAGGUGAUGCAGGGGGAGAAUGGAAUUCCUGGUGUAGCGGUGAAAUGCGCAGAUAUCAGGAGGAACACCGGUGGCGAAGGCGGUUCUCUGGGCAUUACCUGACGCUGAGGAGCGAAAGUGUGGGGAGCGAACAGG
This 254-nucleotide ribosomal RNA is filed under the name uncultured bacterium. RNAcentral describes it as "partial 16S ribosomal RNA". It matches the Rfam family "Bacterial small subunit ribosomal RNA", at positions 524 to 776 of the family's 1533-position model. The record is from RNAcentral.